AGCAUAUUUUGCUCAGGCGGAGCUCGACCGCCCGUUUCGCAAAUGAUCGCGUUUAUCGAUGAUAACCGUGAAGACUAUGGGGUCGAGCCGAUUUGCAAAGUUCUGCCAAUUGCCCCG
Molecule: regulatory RNA element, 117 nt
Rfam family: ALIL pseudoknot
Source: Rfam